This is a long non-coding RNA of Solanum pennellii, 307 nucleotides long. RefSeq lists it as uncharacterized. The record is from RefSeq and is a predicted model, not a curated record. The transcript is spliced from 2 exons. NCBI's taxonomy places the organism in Eukaryota, Viridiplantae, Streptophyta, Magnoliopsida, Solanales, Solanaceae.
CCUUUUUGCCCUUAAUAUUUUUAUAUAAUCUCCAAAUUACCCACAUAACCCUAACAUCUCUUUCUUCCAUUUUUCCCUUUUCACGUUUGGCAUAGUUGCUGAACUUCUUCCUGUUCUUCCAAUUUGAAGAGAAGAUAAACCUUGAAACAGGCCCCUUCACAUGCAGCCUGAUUCUUUUCCAGUGGCCAAGCACGGUAGUGAGACUCGAACCAGGACCUUGAAGUGUGUGACUAUCUCAUCUAAAAGUUUAAACUCUUAGACAGAGAACACUUUUAUUAAUUUAAUUAUGUUUUAAACAGUAAUGCUA